ACAUUCUAAUGCCCAACCAGCAGACCUUCUUACCCUCCCUGCCCCUGUGCUAAGUGCCCAGCUGGGGAGGGAAGGGGAGAGAGGCUGAGGCUGGCAGGGGAGGCUCACAGAAGGGUGCAUGGCGUCAACCGCAGCAGUGGGUGCUCAUGCCGGGAGGGACAGAACGGACAACCAAGGAGCACUCUAGCUUCCCGGAGCUGUGGGAUGAGCUCGUCAAUGGCUUCCCCGGUGGAAUACACCUACAGGCCACAGGCCCAGAACACAUACAGACCACCCCCCAACUUAUGGUGUUCCCUUGAAAGUGUGAGGCAGCGUAUGAGCCGAGGAGGAGGGGACCAAGGUUGUGAAGUUAAACUCCACAUUGUCGAAGACCCCUGUGAACAGAUGUGAAUGGAUUCUCAGGCUGCCUAUGGACCAUGAGACUGCUUUGUGUGAGUCAAGGGAACAAGGACAAACAGAGCCAAAAUCAAGACAAGACACCACUUACCCUUCCAACUUCCACAGGGUGGCUGAGGGGGUUAAAUAAAAGCCACUAUUUCCCGACGGAGAUGGCAGCCCCGCCCACCCGAGGGGCUGGCAUGCCAGUCUAGGCAGUCGUGUUCCACAAACUGACUUGCUGCCCUGGCAGGCGCCUCGCUGCAUAACCGCAGAUUUGUUUUAAUCACUGGACAGCUCCUGAGGGACCCCGGCCCCCAAUUCCCACCCCUGUAAUCUUUAGAAUCUGGUGAAAAGAACUUGGAUUAGA
Long non-coding RNA from Suricata suricatta (meerkat), 745 nucleotides. RefSeq lists it as uncharacterized. The transcript is spliced from 2 exons. The record is from RefSeq and is a predicted model, not a curated record. Lineage: Eukaryota; Metazoa; Chordata; Mammalia; Carnivora; Herpestidae.